Molecule: ribosomal RNA, 521 nt
Filed under: uncultured bacterium
Lineage: Bacteria
Description: bacterial SSU rRNA
Rfam family: Bacterial small subunit ribosomal RNA
Source: RNAcentral
CCGGAGCUUGCUCCACCGGAAAAAGAAGAGUGGCGAACGGGUGAGUAACACGUGGGUAACCUGCCCAUCAGAAGGGGAUAACACUUGGAAACAGGUGCUAAUACCGUAUAACAAUCGAAACCGCAUGGUUUUGAUUUGAAAGGCGCUUUCGGGUGUCGCUGAUGGAUGGACCCGCGGUGCAUUAGCUAGUUGGUGAGGUAACGGCUCACCAAGGCCACGAUGCAUAGCCGACCUGAGAGGGUGAUCGGCCACAUUGGGACUGAGACACGGCCCAAACUCCUACGGGAGGCAGCAGUAGGGAAUCUUCGGCAAUGGACGAAAGUCUGACCGAGCAACGCCGCGUGAGUGAAGAAGGUUUUCGGAUCGUAAAACUCUGUUGUUAGAGAAGAACAAGGAUGAGAGUAACUGUUCAUCCCUUGACGGUAUCUAACCAGAAAGCCACGGCUAACUACGUGCCAGCAGCCGCGGUAAUACGUANGUGGCAAGCGUUGUCCGGAUUUAUUGGGCGUAAAGCGAGCGCA